GUGGUUAAUUCGACGCAACGCGAAAACCUUACCUGGGCUUGACAUGGAGAGAAUCUCCUGGAAACAGGAGAGUGCCUCGACAAGAGGAGCUCGUCACACAGGUGCUGCAUGGCUGUCGUCAGCUCGUGUCGUGAGAUGUUGGGUUAAGUCCCGCAACGAGCGCAACCCUUGCCAUUAGUUGCUACGAAAGGGCACUCUAAUGGGGACUGGCCGGUGAACAAACCGGAGGAAGGUGGGAUGACGUCAAGUCCUCAUGGCCCUUAUGGGUAGGGCGUUCACACGUCAUACAAUGGUACAUACAGAGGGCUGCUAAAUCGUGAGAUGGAGCCAAUCCCAAGAAAGUGUAUCGUAGUCCGGAUUGAAGUCUGCAACUCGACUUCAUGAAGUUGGAAUCGCUAGUAAUACGCGGAUCAGCAUGUCGCGGUGAAUACGUUCCCGGGUCUU
RNAcentral lists this ribosomal RNA (444 nucleotides) under uncultured Hydrogenophilaceae bacterium. RNAcentral describes it as "bacterial SSU rRNA". It matches the Rfam family "Bacterial small subunit ribosomal RNA", at positions 941 to 1382 of the family's 1533-position model. Lineage: Bacteria; Pseudomonadati; Pseudomonadota; Hydrogenophilia; Hydrogenophilales; Hydrogenophilaceae. The record is from RNAcentral.